Molecule: ribosomal RNA, 495 nt
Filed under: uncultured bacterium
Lineage: Bacteria
Description: partial 16S ribosomal RNA
Rfam family: Bacterial small subunit ribosomal RNA
Source: RNAcentral
GACGAACGCUGGCGGCGUGCCUAAUACAUGCAAGUCGAACGCUGAAGGAGGAGCUUGCUCUUCUGGAUGAGUUGCGAACGGGUGAGUAACGCGUAGGUAACCUGCCUGGUAGCGGGGGAUAACUAUUGGAAACGAUAGCUAAUACCGCAUAACAGUAGAUGUUGCAUGACAUUUGCUUAAAAGGUGCAAUUGCACCACUACCAGAUGGACCUGCGUUGUAUUAGCUAGUUGGUGGGGUAACGGCUCACCAAGGCGACGAUACAUAGCCGACCUGAGAGGGUGAUCGGCCACACUGGGACUGAGACACGGCCCAGACUCCUACGGGAGGCAGCAGUAGGGAAUCUUCGGCAAUGGACGGAAGUCUGACCGAGCAACGCCGCGGGAGUGAAGAAGGUUUUCGGAUCGUAAAGCUCUGUUGUAAGAGAAGAACGAGUGUGAGAGUGGAAAGUUCACACUGUGACGGUAUCUUACCAGAAAGGGACGGCUAACUACGUG